UGGGACCAGAAGGGUGAGGAAGGAGAGGAGUUGAGAUCUUCAACUCUGAGGGUCAUCUUCAAAAUCAAAAAGCUGACAACUUAAACCUAAACUUCAACUUUAGAAGCUAGUGAAUCUUCUCUCAGAGAAAAGAAAGGAAAGAAUUUGCUAUUUUUCACCAAAGCACUCAGAUUAAGUUAUUUAUCAGCUUCUUAUUCAGUGAAACUAUGCUCUGGAAUGUGAGGUAGGGGCUAAAGCAGAAGACUGAGUCAGGACAGCUGGAUUCAAUUCUUGAAUCAAGUUACUGACAGAACCAAGAUUUUAACCUCUGUGGUCCUCCGUUAGCCAUAAUUAAAAUGGAUAUUAUAAUAUUUAUCUAUAUCAUAGAAAGGCUGUGAGGCUUAAUAGCUGCAUUAGACAAGAGAAGAAAUUAAAGGGGCCCCAAAAGGGCAAGAUAUUCCUGAGCGUUAUUCUAAAUUGUAGUAGAGCUGUUAAACACUGAGCUGUCAGGGGUAGACAGCGUUACAAGUGUGACAUUCUAAACUAUUCAUUCAGUGUGUGAUUUUUUUCUCUUGAUGCCUUUUUGUCUUUGGAUCCAGUUCUUGUGCAGUGGUGAUACAUGGAACACCUUGAAAAGAGAAAACAGUUUUGUAUGGAUACACUGAAGCUAUCCCGGCCCUCAGACCUACAGCAGGCCUUACUCUUACCUAUGAAGGGAAGUAGGAGAGGCAACAGUUGGGAACUCAAGGAACCACAGAAGCGGAAUACAAGUGCAGUUGCCCUGAACCUGUGACACUAGGAGUAUAUGCAAACUAUAAGGUUGGAGCCAAUCCUGCAAACCUCCAUGUGUGGAAGAGUAUGUACAAUUCCUUUUUGUUUUUGCAUAAGGUUUUUCCUAUGGUUCUUGUCCCUGUAAUACCAGAACACCUCACAUACACUAAGGAUUUUAUUCUAAAACCUCAGAUGGACGGAAAUAUUCUCAUUUUACAGACAGAACACACAGGUGCAGAGAAAGUGACUUGCCUCAGUCAGCCAGGAAGUCUGUGACUGAGACAUCUCUUGAGUUCCCCCCCCUUUUUUUUAU
This is a long non-coding RNA of Dermochelys coriacea (leatherback sea turtle), 1063 nucleotides long. RefSeq lists it as uncharacterized. The transcript has 3 exons. The record is from RefSeq and is a predicted model, not a curated record. NCBI's taxonomy places the organism in Eukaryota, Metazoa, Chordata, Testudines, Dermochelyidae.